CAAUAAUGCAUUAUCUUUAAUACGAUAUAAAUGUACAUAUGUAAUCACCUAUUUAUAUAUUAUUAUUACAAUGAAUAAUGAGGUAAUAUGGUCAGGAGGAUAUCUUGAUGUUAAGAUGAUGAUCGCUAAGUCCAGAGGAUAUAUUGAUGAUAUGAUGAUGCCUGAUAGGUCUGGAAGAUAUAUUAAUAUUUUGAUGAUGUCGGGCAUGUAUAGAGGAUAUAUUGACAUUAUGAUGAUAUCCAACACGGGGGUAUUAAACAGCAUAGGAAAAAGCUUCACUGGCUCCUUUAUCCAUAAGAAUGUAAUAAAGUUUCUCUUCGGUCUUCCUAAAAAAGACUUUCUGAUACAGGCCCUACCAUGUAUACAGUCUGUGGACCCAUGCUUAGAUAUGGUGUAAAGCUCAUAUCCUCUUCCUCUUUCUUGAAAAUAAACUAUACAUGAUAAAUGGAAAAAAAACUUCAAUAUCAUUGAAAAUGUAGUUUUAGUAUGCACCAAUGGAGGAUAUAUUGAUGUUCUGAUGAUGCCUAGCAAGUCUGGAGGAUAUAUAGAUAUUAAGAUGACAGAAGACAAGUCCAUAGGAUAUAUUGAUUCAAUGUAUGGUUAAUGUGCAUAUAUAUAUGCAUAUGUAUGGUUAUGCCAUUAUAUAAUUACAUUUAUAUGUGCAUUAUUAUUAUGAUUUUAUCCUAAGAAUGUCAGUUAUAGUUCUCUAA
Long non-coding RNA from Capsicum annuum, 710 nucleotides. RefSeq lists it as uncharacterized. The record is from RefSeq and is a predicted model, not a curated record. Lineage: Eukaryota; Viridiplantae; Streptophyta; Magnoliopsida; Solanales; Solanaceae. The transcript is spliced from 2 exons.